GCAAGGAUGGGACAUCGGUUUCGCCCUCUGUGCUCUCUGCGUCCUGCUCGGGAUGCUCAUCUGGAUUGCCGGGUUCCCAUUCUACCGCAAUCAGCUCCCUGGUGGAAGUGCCAUCACCAGAAUGCUUCAGGUAUGUAUGCUUGUUUAUCAAGCCAGACUAGAAAUUUUGCGAAGAAUUGAGUAAGUUGUUUUCAACAGGUUCUCGUGGUGGCAUUCAAGAAAAGGAAUGUUGAGUUACCCAAGGACACAAGUGAACUGAAACAGAUGAACCAAGAUGACAGCAAUAAUGGGCUUGAAAAGCUGGAAAGAACAGUGGGCUUUCAGUAAGUAGAAAAAUCUAAGAAUUCUACAGCCCCACUAAAAUUGGAGUACCUUAAUUUCUGCUCUGUGAAUUUCCUUUCAGGUGCCUUGAGAAAUCUGCCAUAGACACUGGAGAGACGGGGCCAUGGUCGCUGUGCACGGUGACCCAGGUGGAGGAGACCAAGAUCGUGCUCCGCAUGGUGCCCAUAUUCCUCAGUGCCAUCCUCGGCUACAUCCCAGUGCCACUGAUCCUCAACUUCACAGUGCAGCAAGGGAACACCAUGGACACCAAGCUCGGCGCCAUCCACAUCUCCCCUGCCACGCUCUUCCUCAUCCCAACUGUCUUCCAGAUGGUCAUCCUGGUCCUCUACGACCGCUUCAUCGUCCCUUUCCUGCGCAGGAUCACCGGAUACGUUGGUGGCGUCACGCACCUCCAGCGCAUCGGCAUCGGGUUCCUCUCGGCCACCCUCGCCACCGGCGUCGCCGCCCUUGUUGAGACCAAGAGGAAGAGGGUCGCAGAGGAGAAUGGUCUCAUGGACGCUGCCACAGGGAUCCCUAUCUCUGUCUUCUGGUUGACCGUGCAGUUCUUCCUCCUCGGGGUCGUUGACGUCACCUCCUUCGUGGGGCUUCUCGAGUUCUUCUACAGCGAGGCGUCGACGGGGAUGAAGUCCGUAGGGAGCUCCAUCUUCUACUGCAUCCUUGGGGUGUCAGCUUGGCUGGGGAGCUUGCUCAUCCAGGUGACGAACCAGGUCACGAGGCGUGGCGGCAGCGGGGCGGCGGCGGCGGCAACAGGGUGGCUGGAUGGGACGAACUUGAACAUGGGCAAGCUUGAUAGGUUCUAUUGGCUGCUUGCUGUUCUGGAGCUGGUGGCAUUCUUCAUUUACAUGUUCUUCGCGUGGAGGUAUGAGUAUAGGAAUAACCAAAGGGUUGUGGACAAUACAGGAGAUACCAAGGCUCCAUUGGCACCCGAAGGCGCUGCCGGUGAUCUGAUCAUCUAGAUGUGUGCUACUCUUAUUGACCCUUUCUUUGACGAGGCUUUUACGUUGUUCUUAAAUUACUUAAGUAACGUAUUACAUCCUGUACUAUUGUAAUAUUUGGUUAGGGAAUGAGUGCUCUAUUCAAAUUUAUUGCUUCUGGUCGAUUUAUAUGUUUCUGUAGACCCAAUAUGUGAACAUUAUUGUUUGAUAUUGUGGUAUUUUCUUGCCCUGAAGAAACAUUAUUCCAAUGUUUUUAUCAAGAUCGAUCAAACUAAGAAUUCACGUUUUGUUUUGCGUAUUUAUUUCUAAUGUAAAAAUAUAGCUAUUUACGUAACCAAAAAGAAUAUUCUUGUGAAAUUUAUAUGAGGUCGACAAUAUUCCUUUUUUGCUUGGGUCCAUCUAUAGCCCAGUUGCCUGAGAUUUUCAGAAAUUUCAGUCACUUUCCAGCCAGCCAUCCAUCGCCUAUCCUAAGGCUAAAAAACCCUCCGAUGAAGGCCAAUAAAACAUUCCUAAAGAAUAUGAAAAGGAGUAAGCAUUUAUACACUAUUCAGAUUAUAUUUAGCAUUGUAGGUAUCAAAGAAAAGGCAACAAACAGAUCAUGGCAAUGUCAAUUGACACACUAGCUACAGGACAAAACAUCAUGCACAUUUUGUAAAAUAGUAAAAUAAUUAUACCCAUGUAAAGACAUCGGAUAAAGUAUGCUCAGAGGGAGCAUGCCUUCGUUGACAAAUUCAUCUUCUUCAUCUUCCUAUCAUUGUCCCAACUUAUCACUUCCUACUCGUUAUAACGAUAAGAAAAAACCAACAAAAUUAAUAGAACCAAGAGCAUGGCAUGUACAUCACACCACAAGCGUAAGAUAUAAUACAACCUAUAACUUCUCAACGAAGCAAGCCAAACACACCUCAAUGAAGCAUGCCAUUAGAAAAUUACUAAAUUUCUACUAAAACUUUCAUUGAAUAUUGGAAUAAAUAAGACUAAAUUAUAGCAAAAACAUUUAAACUACAAAUAAAAAAGUAUAUAAGCCUAUUCUAUGCAAUAUAAGUAAUGAAUAUAUGCAUACACCAUAGCAUGGUAUAUGAACAGUAUAAAAGCACGAAAACAAUUUAAAUAUUCCACUAGAAUAGCACAACAUAAAACAUGG
This 2418-nucleotide long non-coding RNA is filed under the name Brachypodium distachyon (stiff brome). RNAcentral describes it as "long non-coding RNA (BDIS_LNC004783)". Lineage: Eukaryota; Viridiplantae; Streptophyta; Magnoliopsida; Poales; Poaceae. The record is from RNAcentral.